ACAAUAUUGUGGUUUUAACCAUGGAUAACUAAUAACGACAAACAAUUUAAUUAGUGGAAAUAAUUCAUUGAUUGACAUACACUUUGUCUACAAAACGAGCAUUAAUGACAAAUAGCUUAUAAGAAAGUUUUAUCAAUAGAUCGUUUUGUCCCCAUAGAUAGAUCAUACUCGACAGUUGUCCGAUGGUACUUCUUCCUCAUAUAGUGAGAAAGGAAAAAAAACUAUCUAAAUAUGUUGAAGUUGAGAAAUGUUUAACUUAUAUUAAUGUCAUCUGAGCUAUAUGUUGAACAUUGAUAACAAAGAUGCCAGUGGUAAUAUGUGAGAGGUAGAAUUUCAGAAGACAUAACAUGGAUUUCUGCUGGAACCUCUCAUGCCCAUGUCAC
Molecule: long non-coding RNA, 383 nt
Filed under: Oryza brachyantha (malo sina)
Lineage: Eukaryota; Viridiplantae; Streptophyta; Magnoliopsida; Poales; Poaceae
Description: long non-coding RNA (OBRA_LNC001365)
Source: RNAcentral